AGUUGAGUGGCUUUUCCUAUCAGAACAGCACAGAAGGAAAACGGCCCUAAGCAAACGGGGAGACUGCAAUGUGCCAUCCUAACAUAUGACUGUAGCAGACCAAAAUAUGCCACCCUAUCUAUGCCUUUGGAAAGAUCCUACCAGCAAUGAAUUCACAUUCCUCAUCAGCAUUAGGUGUUGUCAGUUAUUAUUAUUAUUAUUUUAUCCAUUCUAAUACAGGCAGAAAGAGAGAUCUUCUGGUUUGCUACUUAAGUGCAUAUACCAACUGCGGCGCAGCAGGCGAAAGCAAAGAGCUCAGAGCCGCCAUCCACUCCCUUCUAGGGUGCUCAUCAACAAGAAACAGAUUGGAGGAGACAGAGAUCAAAUCUUUCCUUUGGCCUUCUUCCUGGGUUCAUUUGUUUUUAAUGUGAUUAGCUAUUUUUCAAAAUUUAAUCAAUGUGAAUAAUACAAAGAACUACGUAGCACUCAGAAUAAAAAAUUACUAUUUUUCUUUUGAUUAAUGUAUUGAAAUAAAGAAAAUAUAAAAACCGCUGGAGUUCAUCUUGUUCCUCCUAAUUCUUCAUAGAUGAAAUCACUCAUGUGAAGAGGAUCCAGUCCUGUUUUUGAAAUAGAACGCAAUGUUCUUGGGUGUAAUUUUAAAAUAUAUUUGCGUAAACACGAUUCUGUGCUGCAAUUUUU
Long non-coding RNA from Ochotona curzoniae (black-lipped pika), 678 nucleotides. RefSeq lists it as uncharacterized. The transcript has 3 exons. Lineage: Eukaryota; Metazoa; Chordata; Mammalia; Lagomorpha; Ochotonidae. The record is from RefSeq and is a predicted model, not a curated record.